GCGCCUUCCUAUGAGUUUCAAUUUCUUAAUAGAUACUCAAAAUCAUAUUUCUGAGAGCUUACUUGGAGGUGUGGAGAAAAAGCUAGACAAUUUUAGGACCUUCCAUGCAAGUUCCUUAGGUGCUGGCAUAUUUUAGGCCAUUUCGAAGAGUUUCGGUUGAUUUUGUCGCAAUUGUUCACUUGGCUUGUGGAUGCUCUUAUGCAGCAACCAUGCUAUAGUACUUGUCUUUCCCUCAUACUUACAAAACUUGUGCCCAAACUCUCUAGCCAGUAGUCUCGCGAAGAAAAUUUUAAAUUUUACGGGAGCUUGGGGCUAAUGUGUUACACUGAUCACAAGUCAUAAUCAAGCUGCAAUGCGUCCUUGCCAGUUGAAGUUUUAGCAUUGUUUUCGGGAGGCUAAUUCGGUGGCUGACAGAUUGUCUAACAUGGUUAUUGGGAUUGGCUUGGGCGUUCAUUUCUUUUCUGAGCAUCCGGAUGAGGUGUUGAGUUUUCUUCAGUCUGAUGCUCGUAGGGUUGCUUGGCCGAGGCUGACGCGGAUUUCUAGUUGAUUUGUUCCUCCUGUUUUCUUUGGACUUUCUUCCUCCUUUGUAUCCAAAAAAAAAAAAAUGAUGCCAAUUGCAAUGAGAAAACUAUGAGCAAUCCAACAAGAAGGAAGCACCGGAUCGCAUAAAGAUUUGGCUAGCCUUGUCGAAAAGCUUCCCGGCUUCCUCCACAAAGGCUAGAUCUUUGCGUUGUAAUAAAUAUAAGUUGCAGAGUGGACCAAUAAACAAUCAUUUUCCCUGCACAGUGAUUGAUUAUAAAACGUUGUAAUUUACUAUUAAAAUCAUUAAUCUACUAAAAGCAACUGUUUGGU
RNAcentral lists this unclassified non-coding RNA (852 nucleotides) under Hevea brasiliensis (rubber tree). The record is from RNAcentral. Lineage: Eukaryota; Viridiplantae; Streptophyta; Magnoliopsida; Malpighiales; Euphorbiaceae.